ACCUACAGCCAUACCACCUUGCGCACCCAAUCUCACCUGACCUCAGAAGCUAAGCAGAGUGAGACCUUGUUAGUACUGGGAGGAAAAACAAAGACGGAAGCCAGGCUCUGUGCUGC
Ribosomal RNA from Cricetulus griseus (Chinese hamster), 116 nucleotides. Lineage: Eukaryota; Metazoa; Chordata; Mammalia; Rodentia; Cricetidae. The record is from Ensembl.